Molecule: ribosomal RNA, 756 nt
Filed under: Bacillus licheniformis
Lineage: Bacteria; Bacillati; Bacillota; Bacilli; Caryophanales; Bacillaceae
Description: bacterial SSU rRNA
Rfam family: Bacterial small subunit ribosomal RNA
Source: RNAcentral
GCUAAUACAUGCAGUCGAGCGGACCGACGGGAGCUUGCUCCCUUAGGUCAGCGGCGGACGGGUGAGUAACACGUGGGUAACCUGCCUGUAAGACUGGGAUAACUCCGGGAAACCGGGGCUAAUACCGGAUGCUUGAUUGAACCGCAUGGUUCAAUCAUAAAAGGUGGCUUUUAGCUACCACUUGCAGAUGGACCCGCGGCGCAUUAGCUAGUUGGUGAGGUAACGGCUCACCAAGGCGACGAUGCGUAGCCGACCUGAGAGGGUGAUCGGCCACACUGGGACUGAGACACGGCCCAGACUCCUACGGGAGGCAGCAGUAGGGAAUCUUCCGCAAUGGACGAAAGUCUGACGGAGCAACGCCGCGUGAGUGAUGAAGGUUUUCGGAUCGUAAAACUCUGUUGUUAGGGAAGAACAAGUACCGUUCGAAUAGGGCGGUACCUUGACGGUACCUAACCAGAAAGCCACGGCUAACUACGUGCCAGCAGCCGCGGUAAUACGUAGGUGGCAAGCGUUGUCCGGAAUUAUUGGGCGUAAAGCGCGCGCAGGCGGUUUCUUAAGUCUGAUGUGAAAGCCCCCGGCUCAACCCGGGAGGGUCAUUGGAAACUUGGGAACUUGAGUGCAGAAGAGGAGAGUGGAAUUCCACGUGUAGCGGUGAAAUGCGUAGAGAUGUGGAGGAACACCAGUGGCGAAGGCGACUCUCUGGUCUGUAACUGACGCUGAGGCGCGAAAGCGUGGGGAGCGAACAGGAUUAGAUAC